AACGAACGCUGGCGGCAUGCCUAACACAUGCAAGUCGAACGAGACCUUCGGGUCUAGUGGCGCACGGGUGCGUAACGCGUGGGAACCUGCCUUUAGGUUCGGAAUAACUCAGAGAAAUUUGAGCUAAUACCGGGUGAUGUCUUCGGACCAAAGAUUUAUCGCCUUUAGAUGGGCCCGCGUUGGAUUAGCUAGUUGGUGGGGUAAAGGCCUACCAAGGCGACGAUCCAUAGCUGGUCUGAGAGGAUGAUCAGCCACACUGGGACUGAGACACGGCCCAGACUCGUACGGGAGGCAGCAGUGGGGAAUAUUGGACAAUGGGCGAAAGCCUGAGCCAGCAAUGCCGCGUGAGUGAUGAAGGACUUAGGGUUGUAAAGCUCUUUUACCCGAGAUGAGAAUGACAGUAUCGGGAGAAUAAGCGCCGGCUAACUCCGUG
This 433-nucleotide ribosomal RNA is filed under the name uncultured bacterium. RNAcentral's name for it is "partial 16S ribosomal RNA". It matches the Rfam family "Bacterial small subunit ribosomal RNA", at positions 29 to 507 of the family's 1533-position model. The record is from RNAcentral.